GUGUCCUUAUUGUAUAGACAUGCGUGAGCUUUGUAUAUGGUGCAUGGUGUCCUUAUUGUAUAGACAUGCGUGAGCUUUGUAUAUGGUGCAUGGUGUCCCUUGAUGUUGUCUUUCUUGAUUCGGGUGAUAGCUGGAGUAACUCCAGUACUUAUAUUUGAUCUCAUUGUAAAGGUUGAAAAGGUUCAACUAAAUGAUUCAUAGUCAAACAGCAAAUGAUUCGUAUGUAAUUCGUAUAUAUUCGUUUUACCUUUAAAAUGAAAAUGUCGUGCGUAAUUUCUAUAUAUUUUACAUUUACAAUGCAGUUAAAAAAAUCUUAUCGGUACCAUUAAAAAAAUCAUUAUACACUAAAAUUAUAUUGUGAAAAUUGGAACAUUAUUCCAGAUUUAUCAUGGAAAACUUAAUAUUGCCAUUAAAAGGUAAAAUGUAUAGGUACGUAACCUUAAAACAUGAUUAGGUAUGAAAUUUGAAUUUAUAAAAGCAAACACCCGUUAUAAGUAGUUUCAGUUGACAGCUUCAUUAGGUGUAACUCUACGUAUCGGUUCAGAAUAAAACAAAACAUAAUGGAAAGUGUUACAGGUAAUUUCUACAUCUUCCUUUUACUUUCAUCGCUUUUUUAUUACCAUAGGUCAAAUCUAGAGAUUAAGAACACUCUGUAAACGUAUAUUAACGACAGCUAAAACACUGAAAUCAGAAAAUUAUAUCCUUUAUUGAACAAUACAACCGUGACACACAUUGAAAGGUUAUGAAGUACCGUGCAGAACACAUCUAAGUUGUAUGUUCAAACAGUGAGACGGGUCUCUUGUGUCUUUACUUUUAGUUUUUUCUCCUACUUAAAUAUGUAUACUUUUGACAAUUUACCUUAUGGUAAGAUACUGUAGUCUGGGAAAAAUAUAUAGGAUAGUGCUGGUUCAUUUUAUCUAGAACAAUGGAACAGAUCACUCAUAAUAUCAUUAUUACAUUUUUGUAAAACAUGAAAUUCAAUGUAGGAUUCUGUUUUUGUAUUCAUAUUAAAUUAUCGUUUAUUAGUUCUGAUCUAUUUAAUUAAAAGUUUACUGUAGUGUUUUUGCUGAUUCCGACAAAGAAAAACUACUACUAUUUUCAGGAAAUCCAGAAUGCAAAUAUUUCAAAUCCAUUAUACACAAAAACAAUGUGUUUUUCCAUAAAUAGUCUUUGCAAAGAAAACAUGUGUCUAUGAGUUAUAUUAGAAGCUGUGGUAAUAUAGCAGAGCGCAUAUAUAGACUAGGAAGAAAAAAAACUAUAUUCUUCAAAUAAUUGUGACAGCGGA
RNAcentral lists this long non-coding RNA (1285 nucleotides) under Mytilus galloprovincialis (Mediterranean mussel). Lineage: Eukaryota; Metazoa; Mollusca; Bivalvia; Mytilida; Mytilidae. The record is from RNAcentral.